RNAcentral lists this long non-coding RNA (275 nucleotides) under Lathyrus oleraceus (garden pea). RNAcentral describes it as "Pisum sativum (pea) long non-coding RNA (PSAT_LNC021573)". Lineage: Eukaryota; Viridiplantae; Streptophyta; Magnoliopsida; Fabales; Fabaceae. The record is from RNAcentral.
ACAUGCUCGCUAGGAUGUCGCAUCCUAUGCAUACGUAUCUUCUCAGACGAGAGAAGAAUCAGAGCAUUCGUAGCUCGGCUGACGCGCACACAAACAAAAGAAGACAAAGGCAAACGUGGAGCCCGACUGCCAAUCACUGGACUUAUGUCAGCAUCCGAACCUAAACACACCCACACCGGAACCCAAAUGCCACUCGAUGGACUUACAUCGGCUUCCAAGCACACAACAACACAACAAGUUAAUAGGGAGUCGGGGACUCGAGCCUAUAACUGUCA